This 498-nucleotide ribosomal RNA is filed under the name uncultured bacterium. RNAcentral describes it as "partial 16S ribosomal RNA". It matches the Rfam family "Bacterial small subunit ribosomal RNA", at positions 28 to 507 of the family's 1533-position model. The record is from RNAcentral.
GACGAACGCUGGCGGCGUGCCUAAUACAUGCAAGUCGAGCGAGAGCACCCGGUGCUUGCACUGGUCAAUCUAGUGGCGAACGGGUGAGUAACACGUGGGUAACCUGCCCAUCAGAGGGGGAUAACAUCCGGAAACGGAUGCUAAAACCGCAUAGGUCUUCGAACCGCAUGGUUUGAAGAGGAAAAGAGGCGCAAGCUUCUGCUGAUGGAUGGACCCGCGGUGCAUUAGCUAGUUGGUGAGGUAACGGCUCACCAAGGCCGUGAUGCAUAGCCGACCUGAGAGGGUGAUCGGCCACAUUGGGACUGAGACACGGCCCAAACUCCUACGGGAGGCAGCAGUAGGGAAUCUUCCGCAAUGGACGCAAGUCUGACGGAGCAACGCCGCGUGAGUGAAGAAGGUUUUCGGAUCGUAAAACUCUGUUGUUAGAGAAGAACAAGUGCUAGAGUAACUGUUAGCGCCUUGACGGUAUCUAACCAGAAAGCCACGGCUAACUACGUG